RNAcentral lists this ribosomal RNA (165 nucleotides) under uncultured bacterium. RNAcentral describes it as "partial 16S rRNA". It matches the Rfam family "Bacterial small subunit ribosomal RNA", at positions 355 to 511 of the family's 1533-position model. The record is from RNAcentral.
UAGGGAAUCUUCGGCAAUGGGGGCAACCCUGACCGAGCAACGCCGCGUGAAUGAAGAAGGUUUUCGGAUCGUAAAGCUCUGUUGUAAGAGAAGAACGUGUGUGAGAGUGGAAAGUUCACACAGUGACGGUAACUUACCAGAAAGGGACGGCUAACUACGUGCCAG